UGUCGACAAAUAGGCUCUCUGGUCAAAUUCCUCCAAGUUUAGCUAGCUUAAACUUUAUAAGCUACCUAAACCUAUCCUUCAAUAACUUAACUGGCCGAGUACCAGUUGGAAAUCAACUUCAAACUUUAGGUGAUCCAUCUACUAUAUAUGAAGGGAACGUGGAGCUAUGUGGGCCCUCACUAUCAAGAAGUUGCGAAGAAAAGAAUUUAUCGUAUGCUCAUGCCGUCAAGGAUGAAGGUAAAGAUGGGUCAAAAGGUUGCUCGUGGUUUUAUGCUGGUACGGUCUCGGGUUUUGUUACGGGCUUCAUGGGACUUGUUGGUAGCUUGCACUUCAUUAGGAUUUGGAGGGUAACUUACUUUGAGAUGAUAGAGAAUGUUUACGUUUUUCUAAUGAUUUCAAUUAUACAAACUCUUGCCAAACUAAGGAGGAAGAUUUUCUAAUGAGGACCCGUGAACCAACCCAAAAGUAUGUAUGGACCAAGUGAUCUGACCAGCCAAGCUAGAGACUCUAAGAACCUAAUGGCGCAACUUCUUUUAUAAUCCUUAGCGGGCUGCCUGAAUAAAUUGGGCUUGCAUAUGUUCGACGCCUAAAUGUCUUGGAAAUAACUGAAGUCGAAGCAGGUGCAGAAGCGGGAUAAUAGCAGAAGUUGAAGCAGAAGACGAAGUGUGCGUGUGGAUCACCAACCAAUUACGUCUAAGUAGAAGCAGAAGCUUAAAGACAUGUAUGGUGCAGCUGACGGUAGGGCUCCUGGUAGGAAUAACGGGGCUGAAGAGGUCAUUUGACUAGGUGGUUCGUCGAAACAUAUGUAUAUGCCAUGAAUGGAUGUAUGGCAUAUGGUAAAAGGGAAGUUGGCAUGUAUAAUUUACUACAACAAUGAUAUAUGUUGCUCUCUUUGAGGUUAAGUUAUUGUUCACUGUGUACUGUAUCACUGAUUAGCUUAUCAAAUUUUUUACUUUUGCA
Erigeron canadensis is the source of this 960-nucleotide long non-coding RNA. RefSeq lists it as uncharacterized. The record is from RefSeq and is a predicted model, not a curated record. NCBI's taxonomy places the organism in Eukaryota, Viridiplantae, Streptophyta, Magnoliopsida, Asterales, Asteraceae. The transcript has 2 exons.